AGCACGGAGCUGCUCCUUUAAAAGGGUUAUUCAGCUGAUUACACCUGAAGAUCCACAUCAGGGAUGGAGCUCAACUGAGCUGGCAGAAGAGAGAAACAGCCUCUCAGGUGUCAGUGCAGCAGCUGUGGCUCCCCUGCCUUCAGCAGUUCCACUGCUGUGACCUCUGCAGGUGUUUUCAGGGCUUCGCAGAGCAGCUUCCGAGCGUUCUUCCUGAAAGCCUCGGUCUUGGGGUCGCUCCUGACCUCAAUGGAGGGCCUGUUGGAGUGGUCCCUGAUGAAGGUUCUCCACUCCCUGUAAACGUCCUUGGCCAGGCCGGACACGUCCGCGUCGGGGUGUUUGCGCAUCUUGCUCACGGUGUGACCUGGGGAAGGGGAACAGCUCCU
This is a long non-coding RNA of Hirundo rustica (Barn swallow), 383 nucleotides long. RefSeq lists it as uncharacterized. The transcript is spliced from 3 exons. Lineage: Eukaryota; Metazoa; Chordata; Aves; Passeriformes; Hirundinidae. The record is from RefSeq and is a predicted model, not a curated record.